AUACGUAGGUGGCAAGCGUUGUCCGGAAUUAUUGGGCGUAAAGGGCGUGCAGGCGGUUCUAUAAGUCUGAUGUGAAAUCUUGCGGCUUAACUGCAAGCUGUCAUUGGAAACUGUAGGACUUGAGUCCAGAAGAGGAGAGUGGAAUUCCACGUGUAGCGGUGAAAUGCGUAGAGAUGUGGAGGAACACCAGUGGCGAAGGCGGCUCUCUGGUCUGAGACUGACGCUGAGGCGCGAAAGCGUGGGUAGCAAACAGGAUUAGAUACCCUGGUAGUCCACGCCGUAAACGAUGAGUGCUAGGUGUUGGGGGUAUCCACCCUCAGUGCUGAAGUAAACACAUUAAGCACUCCGCCUGGGGAGUACGGCCGCAAGGCUGAA
RNAcentral lists this ribosomal RNA (375 nucleotides) under uncultured bacterium. RNAcentral describes it as "bacterial SSU rRNA". It matches the Rfam family "Bacterial small subunit ribosomal RNA", at positions 523 to 898 of the family's 1533-position model. The record is from RNAcentral.